Molecule: long non-coding RNA, 273 nt
Organism: Haliotis rubra (blacklip abalone)
Lineage: Eukaryota; Metazoa; Mollusca; Gastropoda; Lepetellida; Haliotidae
Exons: 3
Source: RefSeq, a predicted model, not a curated record
AGGGAUGGUGUGUGUCUUGAGUGUGUCUUGAGUCUUAGUGUCUUAGGUGUCCUUGAGGUGUGUCUUAAUGGUGUGUGUCUAGGUGUGUCUUAGGAUAGGUGUGUCUUAGGUGUUUUAGGGAUGGUGUGUGUGUCUUAGGUGUGUCUUAGGUAUGGUGUGUGUCUUAGGUGUGUCUUGAGGAUGGUGUGUCUUUUAGGGAUGGUGAUGGUGUCUUAGAAGUGUCUUGAGGAUGAUGUUUGUCUUAGGUGUGUCUUAGGGAUGGUGUGUGUCUUA